Molecule: non-coding RNA, 19711 nt
Organism: Monodelphis domestica (gray short-tailed opossum)
Lineage: Eukaryota; Metazoa; Chordata; Mammalia; Didelphimorphia; Didelphidae
Source: RefSeq, a predicted model, not a curated record
GCGUGACACUGUCCCCGGCGCCCCGCCCACCAGCCCUACCCGCCUCCUCAUUCGCCAGGAUGCCCUCACGACAGACACUUUGCCCCGCCCUCCUGAGUUGAUCAUUGGAAGAGGCAGUCCAGGGAGGAAGACAGAGAAUGGACCUUGGAGACACAAAGACCUGGCUUCCUGUCAUGCCUCCAACACACUGGCUUUGCAAUUUGAGCACGUCACUUACCCUCUCAGCACCCCAGGCAACUCUCUGAGACUCCAAGUUAGAAAGGAGAUGCUGAUCAGUAUUGGUGAAGACACUAGUGAAAUUAUAAAUCAUACAAUCAUCGAUUUGGAUAGGGAAAGGACCGAGGUCAUCUAGUCGCUACCCCUUCAUUUUACAGGUAAAGAAACUAAAAAGUCUUUGAUCAGAAUGGUGAGAAAGCCUCAGGGAAGACACCUUUGGAAGAUUUGGAACCUUGCAUGACUAUCUGAGAGGCAUUUUUUUAAACGUUGUCCCCAAAUUCUAGAGGUCUAUUCUGGUUUUGGUCUGAUAUUCUCCUUUGCAAAUCCCUAUUGGUUGUGAAGAUAUUAUGAAUCUGAAAAGAUCUCUUCUGGAGCUUUCCUCAACAAGUCUUGUUCCUACCUAAUCCUCUAACUUGAAUGUAUUUCUCACUGUUUUGCUAUUAAUUUGUUUGCAAGUUAUCCGUUCACUGUUUCCCCUUCAUUCUUUCAUAGCCCUCCCAAAAGUUAGAAUCUUGUUCUCAGAAUCUGUUAAUUAGAUAGUAAAAAGUCUGCAUCCAUCUUAGCCCACCCUGAAAGACAGCUAUUCCUUUACGGAGAGAACAUUCCACUGACCAGGGUGUUUCUCAACCUUAUACAUUAAUUGUCUUGUCCUCCUGGGGGGGGGGGGGAUUCUUUAACUUGAUCGAAUUCCAGCUGUGAAUAAACAUUUUGAGGGUUUUUUUUCUUCAUACACAAGGAGAGACUUAUUUUACAGAUGUUAGCCAUAUUUUCAACUUUCCUAAUAGGUGGAGUGCCCUGGGGUUCCUUAAUAAUGGGUUGGGCUGAGGACCACAGCAGGACCGAAGUCUGACCUCUCAUUAACUAACAGGAAAAUGCCUUCUCCAUCAGGCAUUACUACUCCUGUAAUGACAGGGAUCCUAAAGGACUAGAAGAGUAAAAGGUGUUUAAUAUUUGAAGUGCAGUAACAGCGGCCGGGUGGGUGGGAGGUGAGAAGUUACCAUCUGUCUCCUGAUGACUAAUAAGGAGAUCAUCAAAAUGAGUAGCUAGCAUUUAUAUAGGUUUGCAAAAUGCUUUACAUGUAUUGUCUCAUCUGGUCUUCACAACAACCCUGUGAGGUAGAGGCUAUUAUUAUCCUCAUUUUACACCUGAAGAAACCAAGGCUGAGAGAUGUUAAGUAAUUUGCCCAGGGUCUCACAGCUAAUAAGGGUCUGGGGGAGAAUUUGAACUCAGAUCCUCCUGAAUCCAAAUCCCAUGAUCUAUCCACCAUGCCACCUGGUUGCUCUAGAUCAAAGGAGCAAAUUCAUGAUAGCUUCUCCCUAAUUUCAGUUCUGGACCUCCCUGUUGCUGAUUUCACCUGGACUUGACUUUCUAAUGGCUCUGUAAUUGAUUUUCUCCCCAUGACAACAGGGUUUGUCAUCAGGCGUCACCCACUUAUUUUACUUCAUUUUGCUACAUGCGAGUUGCAGGAAGGACCCUCAGUAGCAAACAUAUCUGAAAACUGACUUAUGGGUGAAUUGAUAGUUGAAUACAUGUCAGGUUCCUGCUGAUCUAAGGAGCUUCCAAAUGUCAAGUGCAAAACAAGCUAAUGAAAAAGAAGAGGAAGAGGAAGAAGAAGAAGAAGAAGAAGAAGAAGAAGAAGAAGAAGAAGAAGAAGAAGAAGAAGAAGAAGAAGAAGAAGAAGAAGAAGAAGAAGAAGAAGAGGAAGAGGAAGAGGAAGAGGAAGAGGAAGAGGAAGAGGAAGAGGAAGAGGAAGAGGAAGAGGAAGAGGAAGAAGAAGAAGAAGAAGAAGAAGAAGAAGAAGAAGAAGAAGAAGAAGAAGAAGAAGAAGAAGAAGAAAGAAGAGGAGGAGGAGGAAGAGGAGGAGGAGGAGGAGGAGAGGAGGAGGAGAGAAGGAGGAGGAGGAGCAGAAGAAGAAGAAGUCCAUUUUAGGCAAAGAACAGGAGCUUACUCUCUUGGAUUCAUCCUGGGGUGGGAUCUACGGGGCUCUCUGGAAGAGCAGGAUGGAAAGUUAACUGAACUGCCAGGCAAUCCUGCCCACCCAACCUCGAAAAGGAUUUUUGGAUUUUCCCCUUCAUCUCCAUUCCCAUCCCCACCAUCCUACUCCAAGUCCUUUAUUGUCUCACGCCUGAACUAAAACAGUUUUCUAACUGCUCUCCCAUAAAUCUUACUAAAAUACUCCUUUGCGCAUGUUACUAUCCUACAUGAAAAAUCUCCGGCACCUCCUCCCUUACCUACAGUAGAGAAAGUCCAGAUUCCUUAGCUUGAUAAGGUCAGGCACAUCACAAUCUGGCCACGAUCUUCCUCUGAGCUUACCACCCGUUGUUCGACUCCAUGAAUCCUUUGCUCUAGCCAAACUGGUGCACUCAUCACCACCAUCCCUCCCCCAGACUUCAUACUUUUCCAACUUUGUUCAGAUUAUUAUCCUUAAGACGCCGGAAAGUACUCAAAUUUUUAUUGAGUGAAUAAAUGGAUGAGUAGAUAGAAAACCUCCCCACUGUUUUUAAGGUCCCAGCUUUCAACUCAAAUUCCCAAUCCACGUCUCUGACUUUCUUCUGAUUUACCGUAACAUCUAUCUGUAACAAACAGGGAAUACUUAUAACCCACCACUUAAGAUUAUUUCUCUUUUGUGUCCUGAUCCCUCCCUCAAUGAUAUGUCCUCUCUCCCUGGCUAGAUCACAAGCUCAUAAUGCUAUUAUAGAAUAGUAGAGAUUAUUCAUUUUUCAUUUUCAGAGGAAGAAGAGACUUUAAGUGACUUGGUCUAAGCUACUCAGUAAGGACCUGUGGCUGUUUCUUUUCAUUUUUUAUACCCCUCAUACUUUGUGAAGCUAUAAUUAUCAUAGAAUCAAAAUUUUAGAUCUGGAAGGGAUGUUAAAGGAUGUCAGGUCAGGUCCAACCCUGUCAUUUAACAUAAAGGAAAACAAGAUUUCAAGGUUACAGAACUCUUUUAGGUAGAAAGUACAAAGGCAAGAUUUGAAUCCAGGUCCUCUGACUCCAAAUCCAAUUUUUAGGACAAUAUCUCAGUGUAGCAGACAACAAAAUUAAUUCUCUGAAAAUUACAAUAGUUAAAAGUACUGAUGAGGUGACUGUCGAUGUUAUUAUAAGGCUGAUCAUUUUCUAGCUUGACAUUGUCUCCCAGUCAGCUGCCUUAUCCCAACAACCAUAGAACCCUUCAAUCCCAACAUUCCACUUUUUCUGGCUGAGGGAGCCUCAACUGAAGGCUGCUUUAGAAUUCAGUUCAAAUUUCAUUAUAUUACCAACAAUUCCAAGUGGGAUGUUCUAAUUCUUUUGAUGCACUGGAAUUUUGUUGUGUUGAAUUUAGCUUGAAAGAAGUGGGCCACCAGCUGGGAAUCAUAAAUCUUUUUGUUUCACAUACACAGAUUUUUUUUACAUGUUGGUAUUUGAUAUAACAGACUUUGUCUAAAAGGUAUUCCAAAGGAAAUUACUUUUGUUCCAUUACUUGUUUAUCUAGGAACAUGUUCUCUGUCCUCUGUUUAUGGUGGUGUACUUUGGAUUAUAAGCUCCUGAAGGGCAGGAAAAAUACAUUUGUAAUACAUAAAUAUAUAUGUGUUUAAUUUAAUUCAACUUUUACUGAUAUUUUGGUUUUUGUAUUGAUCAAUCAAUAAACAUUUAUUAAAUACCUACAAUGUACUAGGCACUCUGCAAAGAGUUGGCCAACACACACAAAAAAAGACAUGAUACUCCCUGCCUUCAAGGAGUCCAUAAUCUAAUGGUGGAGAUAGCAUGUAAACAAAUAUAUACCCAACAAGCUAAAUGCAGGAUAAAUAGGAAAUAAUUAACAGAGGGGGAAGGCAAUGGAAUUAAAAGAAUUUGGGCAAGGCUUCCUGUAGAAGGUGGGAUUUUAAAGGAAACCAGGGAGGUCAAAAGUCAUUUCUGAAAACUCUCUUCAAAUUGAAUUCUUCUUGUAAUACAAAAAAUAAAAACCACAAUUUUCUGCCCAAAUGGUCCCCUGCCUCCUCUCUGAGAGGAGGGAGGAAUGUGUCAUUAUUACCUUUUUUCCAUUACCAUAAAUGGCCUUUGGUUGCUUUGAGUCUAACUUUCUCUUACUGAUAUUUUCAUUUCUACUGUUGCAGUUAAAUUUUAUUUGUAGUUCUUUGGUCCCACUGUUUUGACUCUCCUCUCUACAAACCAUACUAUGUUUCUCUGGUUUUCUCAUCGUUUCCAUUUCUUAGUGCACAAAACCCAUUUUACCCCCCAACUCACCAUAGCACAGUUCACAAGUUAGAAGUCAGUAAUUCCAUUCAACUAGGCAAAUUAUUGAGUACUGUGUCCUAAAGUGCUAUUCUAGGCACUAGGAACAAGAAGGCAGAAAUUAAAUAAUAGUCCCUGUCUUUAAGGAACUUAGUCUAAUGGGACAUGCAAUUGGACAUGAAAAUAGGUAAAUGUAAAACACACACAAAUUAAUAGUCAUUUCAAAAGAGAACAUUCGCAACUAGAAGGAUCUGAGAAGCCCUUGGGCAGAUGGCAGCAUCCAAGUCAUGCUUUGAAGGGAGUUGGGGAUUCUAGUAGGCAGAGGUGAUGAGAGGAUGCAUUUCAGACAUUGGGGUCCCAUCUCUGUAAAGACUUCAAAAAAGCAAGAGAUGGAGUUUAUUUGUUUUCAAUGGUAUAACUUUGUCCACUUUGAAAAUUCAAAGACAGUCUGACUAUUUCCAUUGCUAUUGUGAUACCAGAUUGCUAAACUGUCAAAAGAAAGUAUUUUAAUAGUUAUUCUACUUUAUUUGAUUUCUCAUGACUCAGAAAGCAAAAGGGCUUUGGUUGCCCUUUAGUUACCAUUAUUGCCAUAAACUGCCAACUACCAUGACCAGUGGCAAAAAAAAUUCAUAUCCAUGUGCUCUUUCCAAUAAUCAUUCCUAUCCACUCAUCUCCAUAAACAUUUUCAGUCAUAGGAUUUGGGAGUUAGAAUAGGUCUGGAGUCAGGAAGACUUGAUUUCAAAUCCAGCCUCAUACAUUUACUACUUGUGGGAUUCUGAGCAAGUCACUUAACCUCUUUUUGCUUCAGUUUCCUCAUCUGUAAAAUGAGGGAAAUAAUAGCCUCUACCUUCCAGGGUUGAUGUGAGGAUCAAAUGAAAUAAUAUUUGAAAAAAUGCUUAGCAUAGAGCCUGGCACAUAGUAAGUGAUAUAUGUUAUUAUUUUAGUUAUUGGCUAAUUCUUAUUUUAUGCCUGAAGAACCAGAUUCCUGGAGAGACCAAGUGACCAGUAGUAAGCAUGGUACAGUAGAAAGGAAACCAGUUCUGAAGUCAGAGGACCUGGGUUCAAAUCUUGGCUUCUGAAUUUAACAUCUAAGUGAUUUUAGAAAAUUGCUUAACUUACUCAAAUUUCAGUUUCCCCCUCUAUAAAACAAGGAGGUUUGUCUAGAUGGUCUCCGAUUUCCUUCUGCCUCUCAAGCUCAAAUCCUAAGUUCUCUGCCAGAGAAUUAUUAGCAGAGUCAUGAAUGGAGAACCAAGGUCUCCUAACUCUUAGGCCAUGUGUAUUCUCCAUUAUGCUGUGUUGCCUUUUACAGCCCAUCAGAUCAGGGAAAAGAUCUAUUUAAUUUCUUCUCCUAGGAAAAGGAUGCUAUCCAAAGUAUCAGUGGGAAAGCAUCCCAUCUGGAUGACUCAUUUUCACUCCAAGAUUAACUACUUUCAUCACACCACUUUCAUGCCUUCCCUCCCACUCAGUUUCAUGUCUAGCCUAGGCCUCAAGAUUCCUCACACCCCUUAUCCCCUCUUUUUUUGCUGCCCCAGCUGGGCUUUCCUCCUACUCCCUAGCCCCCGUCUCAUCAUCUCCAGAUUCCACUGGCCACUUUAAUUGGGAUCCAUUUUAAGAAAUGUUUUUUAAGGUAUGUCUUCCUGAAGUAUCAUGGUGACCUUCACCAAGGACAGAAUAAAGACAUCUCAGUAAGCCUCUGCAGUUGCAUAUGAGUAAGCACACACCCAUAUGCUGCAGAGAUGUCAUUAGGAUCCAUGCACUUUAACAAAGUAGAAUCCAUGUCUCUCAAAGCAUAUUUUACAUCAAAAUCAGCUCCUAGGGACUGUCUAGAUUCUUCACUGAUAGCUGUCUUUUGUAUUGGAGAAUAUUGUUCCUAAGCUUGACAUUUCUUCAUGGUCUGGUUUUGGCCUCCUUUUCCCAGACUUAUUUAAUAUUACUGUACUUACCAUUUCUAUUUGCCUCACUAACUCAUACCCUUCCUGAAGGUCAACUUUAGCUCUUCCCUGGGUUCUCUACUACUCCAUGAAAUUCCAUGUAGCACAUGAUUAUAAUGGUCUUUUAUAAAUCUCUGGUUUUUCGUGUGUUCUUUCAUCUUGUCUUCCAAGUAAAUCAUGAACUUCAUAGUAUAAAGGACCAAAUCUUAUAUCUCUCUUCUGUUCCUGCCAAUACCUAACAAUACCUGAACAUGGGUUCAAUGAUUGCUUCUUGAUGGGCUGAUAUGGCUCUUGGUAUUGCGAAGAUGGGAUUAACUCUCCCCUCACCCACUUUUAGAUUUAAUCACCUGAAGAGUAUACACCGCACUUAUCCUUAAGUAUGGGGAGGUCUGUGACCCACGUGUGCUAUAGCCAGUGACGAAUCAGAAAUGACUGACUGCUCCCUGGGCAGUCCUAAGCAAAGCUAAAGCUGCAAUUGAUUCAUGUAAAGUGGAAGGAAGGCACAGGAAGUGACGAAAGGAAGGGUCUUUAAAAGUGGGAAAAACUUCCUGUGAGAGGUGUUCGGCCUUUGAACUUGGCCUUGAAGGAGCUCCGUCUAGGGACCUUGGACUGUUCCUGACAGGCUGUCUGGUGGAGGAUGGUGGAAGCUCGUGAUUCAAAUACCUACUCAUGACUUAAAGCAAAAAAUCGUGAUUGUGACUGCUUGUAUUUCAAAUUGCUUGUGACUUGCAUAUCAAGGUACUACUGUAUUUGUAUAUCUAGUGCUUAGCAUAGUAGCUGGUAUAUAGUAGGCACUUAAUAAUUGUUUAACUGUCAGGAGCAUCUAUUUUUUUUUUAAAUGACCUCAUCCACAGGGUUUUUAAUAUUUGGCAUCUGGGCCAUUUACAACUUACCCAACUUAUACUUUUAGCCUUGUUAUACAUUAUUCUCCUUCACAUAUCCUACAGACAAGUCCAGCUGACUUUCUCUUCCUCACAGGCAGUACUUCAUCUCCCAUUUUGAUGACUUAGUCCUGGCUGAUAUAGAUGCAUUCCCUCCUCACCUCCUCUUAAAAUCUCUGUUUUCUUUCAGAACUUAGCUUAAUUGACGUUUUUUACAUGAAGCAUUUUGUUAUUCCUCCAAGUACUAGUGCCUCCCCCACCCAGUUUAUCUAUCAGAUGGUGCCUGGCUAGCACUUAGUUAAGUGAUGAAUGGAAGCUGAGUUAAAAUGGACCCAAUUGAGUUAGCUUAUUUUAAAAUCAUUAAAAUUGCUUCAUUUUUCAUCAUGGACUUCUCUUCCAGGCCCUAGAAAUCUCUUUAUUCAGAAAGAUCACUCCUUGAGGGCAGAGCUCAUUUUUCUUUUCCCCUUAAUACAGUGACUCACCCAUACUAAGCAUUUCUUUCUUGUUGACUGACAUUCAAUAGUAAUCAAUGAAAAGUUAGGUGAGUACUUGAAGCCAGCAAUAAAUCACUAAGAAAUGGCAUGAAAUGAACAUCUCUUUUUGUGACAGGUUUGCAAAGGGGCAAGUAUAUUAGGGAAAUACCAUAAGUACAAGUAUUAGUAACCUUUUUGUGUUUUGGAUACUGUUAAAAUUUUGUAAAGGACCACUUCUCAGAAUGUCUGAGUUUGCUUAUAUUCAUAGUUAAAAGACAAGCUAAAUUUUAAUUAAAGGUAAAUGAAAAUAAAGACAUAAAUUUCCCCCUGAUAUCUAUCCAUGGUUCCCUUGGAAAUCUGCAUGUGGCCCCUGGACUCUGUAGACCCUGGGCUAAUAGCACUAGCUAGAGAAUAUGGUUUGUCUGAAUUUAGCAAAAUAGUUGAUGAAGUCUCUCAUGACAUCCUUGUGGACAAGAUGGAGAAAUGUAGAAUAGAUUAUGGUAAAGGUAGUGGAUUUAUAACAAAUUCCAUAAAAGUUUUGUACCUGAACAUUUGAGAUCAGUGGCAUGCUGCAAAGCUGUCUUUGGUCCUAUUCACUUCAACGUUUCUAUUCCUGACUUAGAUGUAUAAGUGGUUUAUCAAAUCUGUGAAGAGCACAAACUUGGUCGGGAUAUCUAACAUAUUGGAAUCAAGAUCCUAAAUUUAUGAAUCAAGAUCUUAAAAGAUCUUAAUAAGCAAGAAUGAUGAGCUACAAUAGAAAAGGGAUGAGUGCAAAGUUCUUCACUUAGAAUUAAAAUUUUAUAAGAGAGAGAGAAGACAGAGAAUUUGUAUGAAAAAUGCCAAAGGAAUUUUGUUACUUUGGUUUAGUCCUGUCCAACUCUUUGUGACUCCAUUUGAGGUUUUCUUUGCAAAGAUAUGGAAGUGGUUAGCCAUUUCUUUCUUCAGCUCAUUUUACAGAUGAAGAAAUCAUGGCAAACAGGGUUAAAUGACUUUCUUAGGGUUGUAUGGUUAAUGUCUCAGGCUGUAAUUAUACUCAGGUCUUCCUGACUCUAGGUCCAGUGCUCUAGUGGGCCUCCUAGCUGCCCCUCUCCCCAAAGAUAUUUAGUUGACUGCAAAUUCAAUAUAGAUCAAUGGUGUAAUAAGAUGAACAAAAAUAAGAACUUUGAGCUAUAUCAAUGAAAGUUAAUAUCCAGGACCAAGCUGCAACUAAUUUUGCAAUUCUGGAAUGGAGAAUCUGAGCUUAUAUAUAAUAAGUGGGUCAGUCAGUAAAGUGCAUACCUAGAGGAAUAUAUAGUAGAAGUGCUAACUCCAUGCACUUUGGAAAAAGCAGGUUGCUUCCCAAUCUUUAAUGUCUAUAGACUUGUCUCCAGAAUUUUACAAAGCUCUUCUAGGAUUCAAACUACUCACAAAACUUCCUAUUCUGGAAAUGUAGGUAAAUUUCAAUGAGACCAUUGUUCAUCUGGGUAUGUGUCUCCAAGAAAUAACCAAUUAGACUGGGGACAUGAAUCUCAUGAGAUUCCUUUCCCCAGGAGUAGCUUUCCUCCACCAUCUUGUUUAUCAGCUAAUAGAACCUGACCAUGAUGAAUGUCAUUGUGAGUGCUGACUAUCUUGGCUAGUUCUCAAGGAAAUAUGGACUUCUCUUGAUAUCAACUCAACUCUAACACAAUAUACAACCUAUUCCAAAGCAACUGCUAUUUCUAAUUCUUAUGAAACUAGUCAGACCCAACAGGGUCAUCAUCAAGCACUUGGGGAUAUUGCUGUAUUCUCUGUGAUGCUAUGUAUAGCCUGUUUCUUAAGCCAUUACUGAUCCCUCAGUCAUGUGAUGUUGUCAUGACAUUUUCAUCCUCUGAUUUAAUCACCAGCCCUUGAAUGCAGCUGCCUUGGAUAUACUCAUUCAUGGCUUCAGUAGCUCAUAGUGCUGAACAGUUCUUGAUGUUCAAUGCCAACCCUAUAUAGAUAGAUCCCCGAUCUACCAGUAUAGGUAGCCUAUGCAUGUGGAUAUUAGGGAAAAUGGGAAGGAGUUGGAAAAUAGUAUUGAAAGAGUAAUAAAACUGAAGCCCAGGAUGUGGUUGAAAGGAUGGGUAAUUGUGUGUCAAGGCCUGGAAAGCUGAGUAGGUGUGGAAACAUCAUUUUUCUUUUGGUCUCAAAUAUUCCUUCAGAUUAAUGGGGUGGGGAGGGGAGGACUGGGAAAGAGAAGGAGGAGGCAGUCUAAAGUGUGAAGAGCACAGACCACCAGGAGCAUGAAGACAAGGGGCUAACAUCACCAGUUGGAAAGAUUACCUGGAUUACUAGUCACCUAUGAUGUCUCAGGAGUGAGAACAAUGGCAGUAUGUAGUAGGAAUUUGACAGAUUGUCAUGGGUGGGGCUUUCGACAGAAAGUGUUAGAACUUGCUACUUGUUUUAAUAAGAUCACAGAAUUAUAGACUUACAACUAGAAAGGGCCUUAGAAGUCAUCUAGUUCAACUCUCUCUCUCUUUACAAAUGAGGGAACAAAGGUCCAGAGAGUUGAAAUGACUUGCCCAGGUUCACAUAUGUAGUAAGUAUAUGAGGCAGGAUUUGAACCCAGGUAUUUCUGAAUCCAAUCCCCCUUUUCUAGCCAUUAGACUAUGAGCUUCAAUAGGAAACAUAGGAAACCAAAAAAUUUCCCUACAUGAGAACACUGUAUCUAUUCCCAGGGCAGUCUACCUGAAGUGUGGAGAGAUGGAUGAGAAAAUUAAAAGGAAAAAAUUUCAGUUGGUAAAACAUUUUGCCUUAGGAUGCAUUUAAGAGCCAUUAUAUCUUGGACUUGUCUAUGCUGGUUUAUUGAAGAGUGAGAGCCAAAAUGAAAGUGAAUCUCACUUGACUGCAAUUCAUAUGUUAAUCAGAACAUACAUAUCUCAUUCCUUCAGAAUGCAUGCAAUUACAUCCUCCUAAUGUCCAUGGUGGAAGUGGAGAAUCAUAACUUAAAAGGGACCAUAAGAGAUCAUCUACUUCAUGCUUAUCUUCCAUAGAUAGGACCAUUCUGAGAGGAUACUAGCUUUCUAUGAGUCCCCCCAAGUGCUUCCUUCCCUCCUUUCACUUCAGACCCCAGCCCAAAUCUGCCGGCCCCUUCUACUGGUGCUCUCUGGAGUCGCUGUUCUGUAAUUAACUUCCUUUCCUCCUAAACCAUUUGUUUUCUUAUUCCUUCCUUGUUUUCCUAUUCCUUCCAUAUUCUGGCACUCACUCAAAUCUGGCUCCUUCCCAUUGUCACAGUAUCCUUGGUAAUGCUUUCGAUACUGCUGUGUGUUCACUCAUAUGCCCCAACUCCCUGGCUGUGUAGCAGGUUAGUUGGAAUACGCCUUGGUCAAUGUUUCCACUCUACCACCCUUUCUCAUGAAUUAUUUACUACCCCGCAUCUGAAGUUCCUGCUAUCCAAAUCUAUCACCCAAUGUAGAUCCUGGUGCCAGUUGUGGAUCAGCCCCCAUUCUUCCUUACUCUGUUCAAUCCCUGGCGGCUCACAACGUUUGCACUCUAACCCUAACCCUACCAGGGGAGUUCAGUAGAUACAUAUGGAUGCUCCGCAUCUAUCCCAAUUUCCCAGUUCCUCAAUCUAGCCAAUUCCUAUCACCUGUCCCUCUACUACAGCUCUACACAGAGAUGGUUAGACUCUAGAUCUUACCCUCACCUACAAGUAUUCCACUACUAAGUCAAGUCAAGAAGUAAAUUUUAAGUUUAGUUCAGGCACUAUAAUAAAUGCUGGAAAAAAAACAAAUACAAGCAGCUUACAUUCUAAUGGGGGAAGACAACACAUAAAAGGAAGCUAAAAGGAUCAAAGGAAGGUACCCAUGAUGGGGUAUAGUGGCAAUGUUUGGAGAAUCAAAGAUGAUUUAGCAGCGUCUUUCCUUAAAAUAGAGAUUCUAGGAAGAACUCAUUGAUGACAUAAGGGGAGUGGGGCAGCUGAAGCCAGAGAGUAAAAGCAUGGCUGGUCUAAACUCUUCUUCAAGAUGAAGGUUCCAGGAGGAAUUCACCUUUAUUUCAUGCAAUGUGAUUUCAUGUGAUUAUCAUCAUCUCCAGGCCUGGCUCUCUAUCCACUGAGCCACCUAGCUGCCCCUAUGUUCACUUUUGAUCUCAUCCCCUUGUUUCUUCUCUAACAGAUUGCUUCCGUUAUUAUCCUUACUCUCUAAUUUUCAAUCUUUCUCUUUUUAUUAGCUCCAUCCUUGCAAUCUAUAAACACUCUUGCAGGAGUUGCUAGAACCAGUUUAGACUAGCUUAAGGAGAACUGAUUGUUAAGUUUUGAGUGUAAUUUUUUUUUAAGUGCAUUUUACCUCACAGAAAUCAGGGACUUGAGAAAGGCAUGAGAAAAUGUUAAUAAUAUAAAAUUUAAAAUAUGUUGUAGGGGGCAGCUGGGUGGCUCAGUGGAUCGAGAGAGAUCCUAGGUACAAAUCUGGCCUCAAACACUUCCUAGCUGUGUGACCCUGGGCAAGUCACUUAACCCCCAUUGCCUUCUGCCUUAGAACAAUAAGAGUAUUGAUUCUAAGAUGAAAUGUAAAGUGGUUUGUUUUUUUUAGUAUAUUGUAUAUUCUGUCCCCUAAAGAGCUAGUUGUUAAACAUUUACCAACAAAUCCUGAUACCUGUCUCCAUCGUUAAAACAUCCUUAUUUAGCCUAACCAUCCCUCUAGCUAAUGACCUAAAUCUUGCUUUCCCUUCUUAAAUAAAACCCCUGAGAAAACUGUGUAUAUAAGUGUCCUCCAUUUCCUUUCUUCUCAUUCUCUUAAGUCCUUUGUCAUCUGACUUCCAUCCUCAACAUUCAACUGAAGUUGUUCUCUCCAAAGCUGCUUAUGAUCUCAUACUUGCUUAUUCUUCUUGGCCAUUGCUUCAUUUGAAACUCAGUCAUUUUCUCUUUCUGGAGACCUUCUCUAAUGCUUCACGAUAAUGAUUUUUUCUUGAUUUUCUUCCUAUAUGACUGCUCUGCUUCAUUUGCUGGUUCUUCAUCCAUAUCAUGCCUUCCUCCUGUGGAUGGCCCCCAAGGCUCUUCCCUGAGCUUCUUUCUCUUUUUUUCCCCUAUGCUAUUUUACUGGAUAAUCUCAUAAAUUCAAUUUUCAUCUCUAUGCAGAUAAUUUCCAAAUAUAAAUAGUAAGUCCUAAUUUCUUUGCUGAGCAAAAGUUGUGAAUCUCCAAUUGUCUUUGUUGCCUCUGUUCCACUUAUUGGCAUCCCUUCAACAUGUCCAAAGCAGAACUCAUUAUCUUUAACCCCAAACUCUCCCCAUUUCUUAAUGUCUCUACCAUUCUCCCAGUCUUCCAGAUGAGCAACUUUUGUCUCUUCAUUGGUACUCACAUAUCCAAUUUGUUGUCAGAUCUUGUAGUUUCUACUUUCACAAUAUUUUUCAUAAUACUUCCCUUCUUUCUGUCCAUAUGACCACCACCUGGGUGCAAGUCUACAUCACCUCUUGAAUCUGGACUAUUUCAAUGGCUUUCUUAUUGGCCUCUGCCUUAUUUCUUCCCUCUCUAAGUCAUUCUCCAUACAGCCACCAAACUGGCACAGGUCCUAAAGCACAGGUUAAUAUAAUGCCCCCUACUCAAUAAACUCCAGUGGCUCCCUAUUACCUCUAACAUCAAUAUUCAAUCUCUGUUCAGCUUUUAAGUCCUUCACAACCUGGGCUCAUUCUACCUUUCCUGUCUUCUUGCACUUCCUCCACAUAUUUUACUCCAGCUAUAUUGGCCUACUUGUAAUUCCUCUAAAACAAUACUCUAAUCUACAGUCUCCAUACCUUGUACUGGUUGUCACCACGCCUAGAAUGCUCUCCUUCGUCAUGUAGACCUCCAGACUUCCCUGGUUUCUCUCAAGAUUCAGCAUCAAUCCCAUCUCUGUAGAAGGCCUUUCCCAUUUCCCCUUCCCCCUAACUAACCCCUUCCUUCUGAGAUGAUUUGCCAUUUGUGUAUGGGGUGCUCAGGAAGGGGUAAUAUCUCUGGUAUGGAGGGUUUGUCGUGCCCUUCUAGGGCAGCUCUCCAGCCUCUGACCCCCACUUGAUACCCAGCUCUCACUUGUGGCUCCCAGUAGCUGCUAGCAUGCAGCAGAGGCCACACCCCAGGCAACGGCUUCGACAGGCCGGCUAAACCUUGUGAGGGUAGCCAUCGGGUCAAUGUCGACCCCUGGUGAACCAGGGCUUUGCUCACCCAGCAUGUGAAGACUGCUUCGGCGGAACAGGCGGAAGAAACCAAUAAGAAGGUUCAACGGCUUAGAUGGCGAUGCAGCAAAGCACUGUGGAGUGCUUAGGGCGUGUUGGAGCACAAAAGACAACACGGCCAUCCAAUGCAGCUGAGGAAGUCUCCAGGUGUAACGACUUUUCGUGCCAAUGGACCCAGGCUUCCAACGCCGAGAGAGUGGGACUGUCUCUGUGCAUCGACUUUUCCACUUAAAUCUUCAUGCACAGGUGUCUUUGUGCACAAAAACGCACAAAGACCAUCGUCAUCCUCGGUUCGAGAGACAACCAACAAAUAUAUACUGUAUUAUUUCCCCCAUUCAAAUGUGAGUUUCUUGAGGUUAGGGGCCACGUUUUUGUCUUCAUAUCUCCAGGAUUUAGCACUAAGAGUAUUUAAUAAAUAAUUGAUGUCUGACUACUUUAUCAAAAACAGUCACAUAAUAUAGGGAGACAGUUUUUAUAAUGAAAUGACAGUCCCACUAAACUCAAACUGGCCAUAACAUCUAGAGUAUUGGGUUCAAUUCUGGACACUCUUUUAGGAACAUUAUUAUCAGUCUAGAACCUGUCCAGAGGCAAUAGCCAAAGUAAUGAAGGAAGUGGAGAUAUAUUCCAUAUAAAGGAAUUAAGGAUGUUUUUAAAUUGGAAAAGAGAAAAUUUAUGGGAAAAUUAUCUUUUUUUUUUUAACCCUUACUUUCUGUCUUAGAAUCAAUACUAAGUAUCAGUUCCAAGACAAAAGAGUGGUAAGGGUGAGGCAAUUGAGGUUAAGUGACUUGCCCAGGGUCACACAGCUAGGAAACAACUGAGGCCAGAUUUGAACCCAGGACCUUUUGUCCCCAGGCCUGGUUCUUUAUUCACUGAGCCAUCUAGCUGCCCUAUGAUCUUUGUCUUUAGUAUUUGAAAGUCUAUCAUAUGAAGAACCUGUGAUCCUUUGAUUGUGAGCUCUCCUAUGUUUAAAGGUCUCUUGAGAAGCUUAACAAUUGUUUCAUUGAGUUGAGUUGGGGUUCCAUAAUGCACUUCCUAAAAUUAUUCCAACAGAAAAUAUCAUCACUUUCAGAAAAUCCUUCCAUAUUUGUUGUUGUUGUCUAUCUGUUGUUCAGUCGUUUCAGCUGAAUCUGAUUCUUUAUGACCCCAUUUUGGAGUUUUUUUGGUAAAGACACUGGAAUGGUUCACCAUUGCCUUCUCCAGCUCAUUUUACAGAUGAAGAACUGAGGCAAAGAGGCUGCAUUUGGACUCAUGAAGAUGAGUCUUCCUGAUUCCAAAUCCAGCGCUCUAUCCACUGAACAUCUAGCUGCCCAAGUCCUCUAUGUUAUGGCUCAUUAAGAUAAUGGAAAACAGUUGCUAACCACUUGUGUGUGUGUGUGUGUUUGUGUGUGUGUGUGUGAUGACAUUUCAUAAAUUCAACUUUAAGCCUUCUCUUCUCUAGAAUAAUUCCAAGGUAGCCACCUGGUGCAAAUACACAAACUAUGGACCAAAAUCCACCGUCUUCCCAUCUCCAUCCACUAGUACCAAAUAGAAGCCACCCAAGAGUAGGUUACAAACUGAUUUUUAAAUUAAAUAGCCAGCAAGACAUUAUACAUACAAACAGAAUCCUUGCCAAAAGAAAUUGGAUGGGGAUGAAAGAGACUUGAAUUAUAGCAAGAAAGUUAUUGAUUAGACCUAAGGAAGAGCUAGAGGACAAUUUAAAUCUGGAACAGGCGACUAGCCACAGUGAUGAGGUCGAUCCCUGGAGAAUCUAAAUAAUAGAAUAGACAAUCAUCUCUUAUCUAUUUACUUUCAGGAAAGUAAGUGGGUAGAAUUCGACAACCACUUUAUAUCUCCAGCUCCAGGAUCUUUUAACCCUUGACACAUAGGAAAUAUGUACUUGUGUUUUCCUCCAAAUUCCAAGAAAGAACCCUUGGGCUUAAAGUCUUUCAGCCUCAGUUUCCUCUUUAAUUGAAUUUAUCAGUACAGCCUUGCUUCCCCCUGAAGGAUGGUAAUGAUAAAUUACUAACCCAGAAAGCUCUAAGACUGUGAGGUCAACCCACAAUGUACCACUGCUAAAUAGUAGUAGCCCAGACUUAAGUAGGGUGUUUGAGAUGGUUUAACCAUUAGACAUGGCUGAGGGCUACGUACAGAAAGAUCUGGCUUAGAAGACAGUUAAAGAUAGUGCUUUGGAUGUACUCAGGCCAAGAUUUCUCCAGGGAAGGUGUAUCCUAGAAAUCUGAAACACGGGCUCUAAGGUGCCGUUAGUUUUUCUUUAGGAUCAGUUUGGAGAAGACCUACAUUUACUUUUGCCUUAAUCCUAACUCUUACAAAACUAGUUUGUACCUACAAACUACAGGGAAAAAAUUUUAAAUGGUUAGUGCUAAGACCUAGUUGACUCUCCAUAAUGUGUCCUAACUCAGCAAAGUUGAGAAAUAGCAACAGCAGACAAGAGGACACAAGUUGGGAGUAGUGGUGAGGAAUGCUGGGCCCUUUGGGGUCAACAGAUGCCAACAGCCUCUAGAAGCUCAAAACUCUCCAACUCAAAGCAAUCCACCUAUCCAACCAGGUCACCAAAGUGAUCUGCAGACAGAAAAGUCUAAAAAUCACUGUCUUAAGAUGGAUCCUAGAAAUGAACCAUCUGAGAGAUAUAGCCACACUUAGAGACUACCAUGGCCUAGCAUUGAAAUUAAUCUCUAACUUCUUGAAACACAGGAGAAAAUGUUGAAUUUGGUUGGUGUGCUCCUUCCUUUCACCUUUCUCUCUUCUUUAUUUUUCUCUCUUUCUCCCUUUUCUCUCUCUUAUCUUCUCCUCUUCUUCCUCUUCCUCUUCUUCCUCCUUUUGUUUUCUUCUUUCUCUCUGACAUAGUAGAAUAUCCUGGAGAUGAAGUCAGGAAACCUAGGUUUGAAUUCUUUUUUCUAUCACAUCUUUGCUAUAGAAACUUGAUGAAUCAGUUAAUCUCUGUAAGCCUCAGUUUCUUAAUUUGUAAACAGAGAAGACAAUAAGUAAAAUUUAUAUAGCCCUUUAAAGUUUGCAUAAUGGUUUCUUUUGAUGUUUUAAACAUCCUUUUAUAACAUGAGGCAAAUGCUACAAUUAUCAUUGUCCCCAUUUUAUAGAUAAGAAAAAUGAGUCUCAGAGAAGUUGUGUCCAGUUCAUGGUUACACAAUGUAUCUGAGAAAGAAGGUGGACCCAGGAACAAAGAUACUUGCCCUAUCUAUCUAACAGGGUUAUGGCAAGUAUCAAAUCAGAUAGAACAUGAACAAGUGUUCUGUGAUCUAUAAAGCAGUAUAUAAAUGUAAGUUAUUAUUAGUACCAAGAGGUACCUGGAGAGCUCACCUGGUACACACUUCUUAGAGGCAAGAUUGCUUCUGGUUAGAAGAGGACAUUCCCUCCCCUAUUUCCUCAAGUAACUUGUCGGAAUACUUAACAACAAAUGCCAUCUGAAAAUCUUUUCUCGUUUCUAAAAAAAAAAAUUCAUGCUAUAUAUAGCCCAAUCCCAUUUACACUUAUUCUUCCUUGAGGGGAGAAAUAUAGCAGGCUCUUUGAAUGAUCAGAAAGACUGUCAUAUUUAUUCAAAGCCAGUGUGGCACAAUCUGCCUAUCAUUGGUAGCCAUUUCAACAGUGUUGUUUAUCCAUUUCAGGCCUUCUGCAUCUCAGUUACCUAGGGGAUUGUCUUUUAAUUUGUUUGUCUCUAUUAAUUGGGUAAGUUAAGUAAAAUGAGGCAUCUCUUCUGGAAACAGCUGUAGAGAGAGAGAUUCAGUUUCAGGUUCACUGGUGUACAAUAUUUCUCAUGUCUUGCAAAUAAUGAAAAGAUAUCAGAAGAAUUGAGAGUCCAUUUAUUCAAAUAAGGAAGGAGACAAACAUUUAUUAAUCUCCUACUAUGUGCCAAGUAUUCUGCUUAGUACUUUACAAAUAUUAUCUCAUUUCAUCCUCACAGAAACCUUAGGAAAUAGGUGCUAUUAUUAUUCCCAUUUUAUGGGAAUUUAUGGAUGAGAACAUGAGACAAAUGGAGGCUGACUGGCCCAGGGUCGUGUCUAAGGUGGAGGAUUUUUUUUAAGGUUUUCCUGACUCUUGGUCCAGCAUUCUCUCUCCUGAGCCUCAUAGCAGACAUUAUAUCAGGAGUGGAUGAGAACAAUUUGUUCCAAAACUCAUGAAGAUGUAGAAAGCAAGUACUAUGGAGCUUUUAGAAUUUGCAGUCACUGCAUACCUUGCCACCAGUAGUUAUCUUGACUCGUCUUGCCAUUGGACUUAGAUAACAUUGGAAGAGAGAGUGAGGUUGACAAUUCUGCACAAUUGUGCCUCACUGAAAUCCAAUUCAUCAAGUCAUGACAUCUAUAAUGUCAUGGAACAACAACAGCAACAACAAUAUGGAGCCUGGUAAAAGAGAAUAAAUUGGAGAAGGAAAUGGCAAACCACUUUAGCAUCUUUACCAAGAAAACAUCAUAGACAUUAUGGUCCAUGGAGUCAUGAACAGUCAGACAUGACUGAAUUGCAUAAUGGCAAAUGGAAUUCUGCAAUGGCAAAACAGUGAAGGUUUUGUACUUUGGAUUGGAACCUUUAUAAUACAUCACUCCAAAAGAAGAAUGAUUAUGGAGAAAGUGGGUGGAGGAAACAUCUAGUCAUCUAACCAUCCAUUUAUCUAUUCAUGCCCCCAUCCAACAAAUAUUUUUUUUAGCAUCUACCAUACCAGUCACUAAGAAAGCUACAAAUAUGCAAAAGACAUUUACAUUCAGUCCAUAAUGUAAAACACAUAAUCCCUGCUCUCCAAAAGUUUAUGUACAUCAAGUGGGAAAUGACUGAACAAGUUGCCCAAUAUGCUUGUAAUGGAAUACUAUUGUGUCAUGAGAAGUGACAAACAAAAUUAACCUAGAAAGACUUAUACGAAGUGAUGCAAAGUAAAGUAAGCAGAACCAGGAGAACACUGUACACAGUAACAACAAUAAUGUAUGAUAGUCAAUUAGGAAUGGCUUGACUAUUAUCAACAAGGUAAGGAUCUAGGACAUCUCCAAGGGACUCAUGACAAAAAAGGAUAUCCACCAACAUAGAAGGAACAGAAGUCCAAAUGCAGACUGAAAUACAUCAUUCUUCACUUUAUUUCCUCCAUUAAUUUUUUCUCUAAUACAAGCAAUCUAUGUCUUGUUUCACAACAUGACAAAUGGGGAAAUAUUAUAUCAUAAUAUAUGUACAACCUAUAUCAUAUUACCUGCCUUCUUGGGGAGGUGAAAGGGGUGGGGAAAAAAGGAAAAAUAAUGAGAGAAAUUUUUGGAUUUAGCUAAUGUGAGAAUUUGUUUCUCUUGGAUAAGCAUAUUUAUUAGUAUUUAUUACAUAUUUAUGGUAAAUUAUAUGAAUUAUAUUGUUGGUACAUAUUAUGUUAUAUUUUUUAAAAAUAAAGUAAAUUAUAACUUAAAAAAAAAGGCUAUGAGCAUGAACACAUCUUUCCCAACAAAGAUGAAAGUUUUUGUAGAAAUUAGAAAGAAGACUUUUUUGGGAUCUAGUUCUGUGGUUUUUCUCCACCAAUGCAAACUGACAACUCAUCUGUAACAUAGUCUUAGAAAGUUAUCUGGGGUACUGGGAAGAAAAGGUGGAUCCAUAGAUUCCUUCAGAAAUUGUAAAAGAGGCUUCAUAAUAUUCUAUAUCUUGAAGAAUGGUAAAGUAAAGACCUAGAAGGAUCGUAAUAGUAAGUGCUUGAAUUAUUUGUUUUCGAUUGCCUUCUAUUAAGCUGUGGUGGGCUCAUGUAAUUGAUACUCCUGAGGCCAGUAGAAUUUAGUAGUGGCACUUCAGGUGGAUUAAGUGGAUGAAUUCCAGUUGGAGGUCAGCAUCCUCCUAGUUCAUGGGUUGGGGCUAAACUUGAGUGAUAAAAUGCUCAAAAGAAGCCAAUGAAAA